GCCAACAUGGCUUAGUGGUUUGAAAGUUCAACUACAACUCUGGAGACCAGGGUUCGAUUCCCAGCUCAGACA
Phrynosoma platyrhinos (Desert horned lizard) is the source of this 72-nucleotide non-coding RNA. The record is from the annotation of a GenBank genome assembly. Lineage: Eukaryota; Metazoa; Chordata; Lepidosauria; Squamata; Phrynosomatidae.